This 252-nucleotide ribosomal RNA is filed under the name uncultured bacterium. RNAcentral describes it as "partial 16S ribosomal RNA". It matches the Rfam family "Bacterial small subunit ribosomal RNA", at positions 524 to 776 of the family's 1533-position model. The record is from RNAcentral.
UACGUAGGGACCGAGCGUUGUCCGGAUUCAUUGGGCGUAAAGAGCUCGUAGGCGGCUGCUCAAGUCGAAUGUGAAAACUCGAGGCUCAACCUCGAGCCUGCAUUCGAUACUGCCCGACUAGAGGUAGGUAGGGGAGAUCGGAAUUCCUGGUGUAGCGGUGAAAUGCGCGAUAUCAGGAGGAACACCGGUGGCGAAGGCGGAUCUCUGGGCCUUACCUGACGCUGAGACGCGAAAGCGUGGGGAGCGAACCGG